UCGCUGGCGGCAGGCCUAACACAUGCAAGUCGAACGGCAGCGCGGGGAGCUUGCUCCCUGGCGGCGAGUGGCGGACGGGUGAGUAAUGCGUAGGAAUCUACCUUGUAGUGGGGGAUAACCUGGGGAAACUCGGGCUAAUACCGCAUAAUCUCUUUGGAGCAAAGCGGGGGAUCUUCGGACCUCGUGCUAUAAGAUGAGCCUACGUCGGAUUAGCUUGUUGGUGGGGUAAUGGCCUACCAAGGCGACGAUCCGUAGCUGGUCUGAGAGGACGAUCAGCCACACUGGGACUGAGACACGGCCCAGACUCCUACGGGAGGCAGCAGUGGGGAAUAUUGGACAAUGGGGGAAACCCUGAUCCAGCAAUGCCGCGUGUGUGAAGAAGGCCUUCGGGUUGUAAAGCACUUUCGGUGGGGAAGAAAUUCUCAAGGGUAAUAUCCUUGGGCGUUGACGUUACCCACAGAAGAAGCACUGGCUAACUCUGUGCCAGCAGCCGCGGUAAUACAGAGAGUGCAAGCGUUAAUCGGAAUCACUGGGCGUAAAGCGCGCGUAGGUGGAUAUUUAAGUCGGAUGUGAAAGCCCUGGGCUUAACCUGGGAAUUGCACCCGAUACUGGGUAUCUUGAGUAUGGUAGAGGGAAGUGGAAUUUCCGGUGUAGCGGUGAAAUGCGUAGAUAUCGGAAAGAACACCAGUGGCGAAGGCGACUUCCUGGACCAAUACUGACACUGAGGCGCGAAAGCGUGGGGAGCAAACAGGAUUAGAGACCCUGGUAGUCCACGCCGUCAACGAUGAGAACUAGCUGUUGGGAAGUUCACUUCUUAGUAGCGAAGCUAACGCGUUAAGUUCUCCGCCUGGGGAGUACGGCCGCAAGGUUAAAACUCAAAGAAAUUGACGGGGGCCCGCACAAGCGGUGGAGCAUGUGGUUUAAUUCGAUGCAACGCGAAAAACCUUACCUACCCUUGACAUCCUCGGAACUUGUCAGAGAUGAUUUGGUGCCUUCGGGAACCGAGUGACAGGUGCUGCAUGGCUGUCGUCAGCUCGUGUCGUGAGAUGUUGGGUUAAGUCCCGUAACGAGCGCAACCCUCGUCCUUAGUUGCCAGCGAGUCAAGUCGGGAACUCUAAGGAGACUGCCGGUGAUAAACCGGAGGAAGGUGGGGAUGAUGUCAAGUCAUCAUGGCCCUUACGGGUAGGGCUACACACGUGCUACAAUGGGCAGUACAAAGGGUUGCCAAGCCGCGAGGUGGAGCUAAUCCCAGAAAACUGCUCGUAGUCCGGAUUGGAGUCUGCAACUCGACUCCAUGAAGUUGGAAUCGCUAGUAAUCGCGAAUCA
RNAcentral lists this ribosomal RNA (1326 nucleotides) under Coxiella burnetii. It matches the Rfam family "Bacterial small subunit ribosomal RNA", at positions 33 to 1351 of the family's 1533-position model. The record is from RNAcentral. Lineage: Bacteria; Pseudomonadati; Pseudomonadota; Gammaproteobacteria; Legionellales; Coxiellaceae.